UUCGGCAGCUAGCUCUCUGCAACUCUCACAUGGUCGCCCACUGAAGCUAAGCAGGGCUGCGCCCGGUCAGUACCUGGAUGGGAAACCACAUGGGAAAGCUAGGUUGCUGCCGGAA
This 115-nucleotide ribosomal RNA is filed under the name Danio rerio (zebrafish). The record is from RNAcentral. Lineage: Eukaryota; Metazoa; Chordata; Actinopteri; Cypriniformes; Danionidae.